This is a non-coding RNA of Zea mays, 74 nucleotides long. NCBI's taxonomy places the organism in Eukaryota, Viridiplantae, Streptophyta, Magnoliopsida, Poales, Poaceae. The record is from RefSeq and is marked provisional.
CGGGCAUGCUUUCCACAGGCUUUCUUGAACUGUGAACUCGUGGGUGGUGGUGGUAUGUCGGAUGGAAUGCUUGG